CCUACGGGAGGCAGCAGUGAGGAAUAUUGGUCAAUGGCCGGAAGGCUGAACCAGCCAUGCCGCGUGAAGGUCAGUGCCCUAUGGGCGUUAAACUUCUUUUGUGCGGGAGCAAUAAUGGUCACGUGUGGCCAGACGAGAGUACCGUACGAAUAAGAAUCGGCUAACUCCGUGCCAGCAGCCGCGGUAAUACGGGGGAUGCAAGCGUUAUCCGGAUUUAUUGGGUUUAAAGGGUGCGUAGGCUGUGAGGUAAGUCAGCGGUGAAAUGCCCCCGCGCAACGGGGUGAAGUGCCAUUGAUACUGCCUGGCUGGAAUGCGGAUGCCGUGGGAGGAAUGUGUGGUGUAGCGGUGAAAUGCAUAGAUAUCACACAGAACACCGAUUGCGAAGGCAUCUCACGAAUCCGCGAUUGACGCUGAUGCACGAAAGCGUGGGUAUCAAACAGGAGUAGAUACCCGGGUAGUC
RNAcentral lists this ribosomal RNA (460 nucleotides) under uncultured bacterium. Its description in RNAcentral is "partial 16S ribosomal RNA". It matches the Rfam family "Bacterial small subunit ribosomal RNA", at positions 338 to 795 of the family's 1533-position model. The record is from RNAcentral.